ACUCGAGUGGCGAACGGGUGAGUAACACGUGGGUGAUCUGCCCUGCACUUCGGGAUAAGCCUGGGAAACUGGGUCUAAUACCGGAUAGUACGAUGGUUUGGAUGCCAUUGUGGAAAGUUUUUCGGUGCAAGAUGAGCCCGCGGCCUAUCAGCUUGUUGGUGGGGUAAUGGCCUACCAGGGCGACGACGGGUAGCCGGCCUGAGAGGGUGUACGGCCACAUUGGGACUGAGACACGGCCCAG
Molecule: ribosomal RNA, 241 nt
Filed under: uncultured Actinomycetales bacterium
Lineage: Bacteria; Bacillati; Actinomycetota; Actinomycetes; Actinomycetales
Description: partial 16S ribosomal RNA
Rfam family: Bacterial small subunit ribosomal RNA
Source: RNAcentral